GAUGAAGAACGUAGCGAAAUGCGAUACUUGGUGUGAAUUGCAGAAUCCCGUGAACCAUCGAGUCUUUGAACGCAAGUUGCGCCCGAAGCCAUUAGGCCGAGGGCACGCCUGCCUGGGCGUCACACGUCGUUGCCCCCCCAUCUACUCCUUCGGGAUUGCGGGGGGCGGAUGAUGGCCUCCCGUGCGCCUCGCCGCGCGGUUGGCAUAAAUGCCAAGUCCUCGGCGACGCACGCCACGACAAUCGGUGGUUGCGAAACCUCGGUUGCCCGUCGUGUGCGGUCGUCGCGCAUCGAGGGCUCGAAAAAAUUGCCGGUUUCCGGCUCGGCUUUCAACGCGACCCCAGGUCAGGCGGGGUUACCCGCUGAAUUUAAGCAUAUCAAUAAGCGGAGGA
RNAcentral lists this unclassified non-coding RNA (391 nucleotides) under soil metagenome. RNAcentral describes it as "partial contains 5.8S ribosomal RNA, internal transcribed spacer 2, and large subunit ribosomal RNA". The stretch from base 1 to 122 matches the Rfam family "5.8S ribosomal RNA", at positions 35 to 154 of the family's 154-position model. The record is from RNAcentral.